RNAcentral lists this ribosomal RNA (747 nucleotides) under Pseudoalteromonas sp. Its description in RNAcentral is "bacterial SSU rRNA". It matches the Rfam family "Bacterial small subunit ribosomal RNA", at positions 35 to 785 of the family's 1533-position model. The record is from RNAcentral. Lineage: Bacteria; Pseudomonadati; Pseudomonadota; Gammaproteobacteria; Alteromonadales; Pseudoalteromonadaceae.
GCAUGCGGCAGCUACCAUGCAGUCGAGCGGUAACAAAGAGAAGCUUGCUUCUCUGCUGACGAGCGGCGGACGGGUGAGUAAUGCUUGGGAACUUGCCUUGAGGUGGGGGACAACCGCUGGAAACUACUGCUAAUACCGCAUAAUGUCUACGGACCAAAGGGGGGUUCCGCUCUCCCCUUUACAUUGGCCCGAGUGGGAUUAGCUUUUUGGUGAGGUAGUGGCUCACGAUCGCCACGAUCCCUAUCUGGUUUGAGAGGAUGAUCAUCCACACUGGGACUGACACUGAGCCCACACUCCUACGGGAGGCAGCAGUGGGGAAUAUUGCACAAUGGGCGCAAGCCUGAUGCUGAUGUGCCGCGUGUGUGAAAAAGGCCUUCGGGUUGUAAAUCUCUUUCACUUUCGAGGAAAGGUUAGGAUGUAAUACCUGCUAUCUGUGACGUUACUGACAGAAGAAGCACCGGCUAACUCCGUGCCAGCACCCGCGGUAAUACGGAGGGUGCGAGCGUUAAUCGAAAUUACUGGGCGUAAAGCGUACGCGUACGGUUUGUUAAGCGAGAUGUGAAAGCCCCGGGCUCAACCUGACAACUGCAUUUCAAACUGAACUGCUAGAGUGUGAUAGAGGGUGGUAGAAUUUCAUGUGUAGCGGAGAAAUGCGUAGAGAUCUGAUUGAAUACCGAUGGCGAGGGCAACACCUGGCUCAACACUGACGCUCAUGUACAAGACGUGGCGAGCAAAGCGAUUAGACCC